GGGUUGUGAGGUUAAGCGACUAAGCGUACACGGUGGAUGCCCUGGCAGUCAGAGGCGAUGAAGGGCGUACUAAUCUGCGAUAAGCGCCGGUAAGGUGAUAUGAACCGUUAUAACCGGCGAUACCCGAAUGGGGAAACCCAGUGUGAUUCGUCACACUAUCAUUAACUGAAUCCAUAGGUUAAUGAGGCGAACCGGGGGAACUGAAACAUCUAAGUACCCCGAGGAAAAGAAAUCAACCGAGAUUCCCCCAGUAGCGGCGAGCGAACGGGGAGGAGCCCAGAGCCUGAAUCAGCAUGUGUGUUAGUGGAAGCGUCUGGAAAGGCGCGCGAUACAGGGUGACAGCCCCGUACACAAAAGCGCAUGUGCUGUGAGCUCGAUGAGUAGGGCGGGACACGUGGUAUCCUGUCUGAAUAUGGGGGGACCAUCCUCCAAGGCUAAAUACUCCUGACUGACCGAUAGUGAACCAGUACCGUGAGGGAAAGGCGAAAAGAACCCCGGCGAGGGGAGUGAAAAAGAACCUGAAACCGUGUACGUACAAGCAGUGGGAGCACCCUUUGGGUGUGACUGCGUACCUUUUGUAUAAUGGGUCAGCGACUUAUAUUCUGUAGCAAGGUUAACCGAAUAGGGGAGCCGGAGGGAAACCGAGUCUUAACCGGGCGUUAAGUUGCAGGGUAUAGACCCGAAACCCGGUGAUCUAGCCAUGGGCAGGUUGAAGGUUGGGUAACACUAACUGGAGGACCGAACCGACUAAUGUUGAAAAAUUAGCGGAUGACCUGUGGCUGGGGGUGAAAGGCCAAUCAAACCGGGAGAUAGCUGGUUCUCCCCGAAAGCUAUUUAGGUAGCGCCUCGUGAAUUCAUCUCCGGGGGUAGAGCACUGUUUCGGCUAGGGGGCCAUCCCGGCUUACCAACCCGAUGCAAACUGCGAAUACCGGAGAAUGUUAUCACGGGAGACACACGGCGGGUGCUAACGUCCGUCGUGAAGAGGGAAACAACCCAGACCGCCAGCUAAGGUCCCAAAGUCAUGGUUAAGUGGGAAACGAUGUGGGAAGGCCCAGACAGCCAGGAUGUUGGCUUAGAAGCAGCCAUCAUUUAAAGAAAGCGUAAUAGCUCACUGGUCGAGUCGGCCUGCGCGGAAGAUGUAACGGGGCUAAACCAUGCACCGAAGCUGCGGCAGCGACACUGUGUGUUGUUGGGUAGGGGAGCGUUCUGUAAGCCUGCGAAGGUGGCCUGUGAGGGUUGCUGGAGGUAUCAGAAGUGCGAAUGCUGACAUAAGUAACGAUAAAGCGGGUGAAAAGCCCGCUCGCCGGAAGACCAAGGGUUCCUGUCCAACGUUAAUCGGGGCAGGGUGAGUCGACCCCUAAGGCGAGGCCGAAAGGCGUAGUCGAUGGGAAACGGGUUAAUAUUCCCGUACUUGGUGUUACUGCGAAGGGGGGACGGAGAAGGCUAUGUUGGCCGGGCGACGGUUGUCCCGGUUUAAGCGUGUAGGUGUGUGUUCCAGGUAAAUCCGGUUCACUUUAACACUGAGGCGUGACGACGAGGCACUACGGUGCUGAAGCAACAAAUGCCCUGCUUCCAGGAAAAGCCUCUAAGCAUCAGGUAACAUCAAAUCGUACCCCAAACCGACACAGGUGGUCAGGUAGAGAAUACCAAGGCGCUUGAGAGAACUCGGGUGAAGGAACUAGGCAAAAUGGUGCCGUAACUUCGGGAGAAGGCACGCUGACACGUAGGUGAAGUGAUUUACUCAUGGAGCUGAAGUCAGUCGAAGAUACCAGCUGGCUGCAACUGUUUAUUAAAAACACAGCACUGUGCAAACACGAAAGUGGACGUAUACGGUGUGACGCCUGCCCGGUGCCGGAAGGUUAAUUGAUGGGGUCAGCGCAAGCGAAGCUCCUGAUCGAAGCCCCGGUAAACGGCGGCCGUAACUAUAACGGUCCUAAGGUAGCGAAAUUCCUUGUCGGGUAAGUUCCGACCUGCACGAAUGGCGUAAUGAUGGCCAGGCUGUCUCCACCCGAGACUCAGUGAAAUUGAACUCGCUGUGAAGAUGCAGUGUACCCGCGGCAAGACGGAAAGACCCCGUGAACCUUUACUAUAGCUUGACACUGAACAUUGAGCCUUGAUGUGUAGGAUAGGUGGGAGGCUUUGAAGUGUGGACGCCAGUCUGCAUGGAGCCGACCUUGAAAUACCACCCUUUAAUGUUUGAUGUUCUAACGUGGACCCGUUACCCGGGUUGCGGACAGUGUCUGGUGGGUAGUUUGACUGGGGCGGUCUCCUCCUAAAGAGUAACGGAGGAGCACGAAGGUUGGCUAAUCCUGGUCGGACAUCAGGAGGUUAGUGCAAUGGCAUAAGCCAGCUUGACUGCGAGCGUGACGGCGCGAGCAGGUGCGAAAGCAGGUCAUAGUGAUCCGGUGGUUCUGAAUGGAAGGGCCAUCGCUCAACGGAUAAAAGGUACUCCGGGGAUAACAGGCUGAUACCGCCCAAGAGUUCAUAUCGACGGCGGUGUUUGGCACCUCGAUGUCGGCUCAUCACAUCCUGGGGCUGAAGUAGGUCCCAAGGGUAUGGCUGUUCGCCAUUUAAAGUGGUACGCGAGCUGGGUUUAGAACGUCGUGAGACAGUUCGGUCCCUAUCUGCCGUGGGCGCUGGAGAACUGAGGGGGGCUGCUCCUAGUACGAGAGGACCGGAGUGGACGCAUCACUGGUGUUCGGGUUGUCAUGCCAAUGGCACUGCCCGGUAGCUAAAUGCGGAAGAGAUAAGUGCUGAAAGCAUCUAAGCACGAAACUUGCCCCGA
Molecule: ribosomal RNA, 2785 nt
Filed under: Salmonella enterica subsp. enterica serovar Enteritidis
Lineage: Bacteria; Pseudomonadati; Pseudomonadota; Gammaproteobacteria; Enterobacterales; Enterobacteriaceae
Description: partial 23S ribosomal RNA
Rfam family: Bacterial large subunit ribosomal RNA
Source: RNAcentral